GUGAGGAAUAUUGGUCAAUGGCCGGGAGGCUGAACCAGCCAAGUCGCGUGAGGGAAGACGGCCCUACGGGUUGUAAACCUCUUUUGUCAGGGAGCAAGAGGCGGGUCGAGACCUGCUGUGAGAGUACCUGAAGAAAAAGCAUCGGCUAACUCCGUGCCAGCAGCCGCGGUAAUACGGAGGAUGCGAGCGUUAUCCGGAUUUAUUGGGUUUAAAGGGUGCGCAGGCGGAGGCACAAGUCAGCGGUAAAAUCGCGGGGCUCAACCCCGCUCCGCCGUUGAAACUGUGUCCCUUGAGUGCGCGAAGGGUAGGCGGAAUGCGUGGUGUAGCGGUGAAAUGCAUAGAUAUCACGCAGAACUCCGAUCGCGAAGGCAGCCUACCGGCGCGCAACUGACGCUCAUGCACGAAAGCGUGGGUAUCGAACAGGAUUAGAAACCCCAGUAGUCC
Molecule: ribosomal RNA, 444 nt
Filed under: uncultured bacterium
Lineage: Bacteria
Description: bacterial SSU rRNA
Rfam family: Bacterial small subunit ribosomal RNA
Source: RNAcentral